This is a non-coding RNA of Acanthosepion pharaonis, 101 nucleotides long. Lineage: Eukaryota; Metazoa; Mollusca; Cephalopoda; Sepiida; Sepiidae. The record is from the annotation of a GenBank genome assembly.
UUACGGUCAUAUCACGUUGAAACACCGGCUCUCGUAUGAUCACUGAAUUUAAGCAACAUCGAGCCUGGUCAGUACCUAGAUAGGUGACAGUUUGGGAAUAA